RNAcentral lists this ribosomal RNA (425 nucleotides) under uncultured bacterium. RNAcentral describes it as "bacterial SSU rRNA". It matches the Rfam family "Bacterial small subunit ribosomal RNA", at positions 354 to 796 of the family's 1533-position model. The record is from RNAcentral.
GUGGGGAAUCUUGGACAAUGGGCGAAAGCCUGAUCCAGCCAUGCCGCGUGAGUGAAGAAGGCCUUAGGGUUGUAAAGCUCUUUUGGCAGGGACGAUAAUGACGGUACCUGCAGAAUAAGCCCCGGCAAACUUCGUGCCAGCAGCCGCGGUAAUACGAAGGGGGCUAGCGUUGUUCGGAAUUACUGGGCGUAAAGCGCACGUAGGCGGGUUGUUAAGUCAGGGGUGAAAUCCUGGAGCUCAACUCCAGAACUGCCUUUGAUACUGGCAACCUAGAGACUGGAAGAGGUUAGUGGAAUUCCCAGUGUAGAGGUGAAAUUCGUAGAUAUUGGGAAGAACACCAGUGGCGAAGGCGGCUAACUGGUCCAGCACUGACGCUGAGGUGCGAAAGCGUGGGGAGCAAACAGGAUUAGAAACCCUAGUAGUCC